GUUUAAAUACGGACGGGUAGUUUUCGUAAGGCGCACGCUCACCUGCAAAAAAAUGGAUUUGAUCUUGCAGGCUGCCGAUGCAAUUCAAGCCGAUCGAGGAUGCAAACGUCUCCAGAAUUCGUAAGCAAAAACUUGCGAGAAGGGAUGGGGGUCAAAUAGAUCGCAAUCGUGAUAUUGAGCACCUCUGGGAAUUUUACUGGCGCUACAAGUGACGACAUCGCCCGGAGGAUAUCCAGAGGGAGGAGCAGAGAAUGCGUGAAUCUGGGACUUUUACUGCUAACUUUGGAGGGUAUGACCAUCAUUUUGCUGCUUUAGUAAAUUUCUUGAAGUUCUACUAUGCACAGAAUUUCAAUGUCAAGUUCUGUUCUUAUGUAUCUGUAAUAUAUAAUCUUCAGAAAGACAAUGUAAGGAACCAGAGAAAGAAUUUUGUCCUUACAAUUGCAAAUGCACAAUCUCGCCUUGGUAUACCUGCUUAGGCUGAUCCAAUGCUUAAUCCUUUGCAGACCAUACAAUGGUCUGAAGUGUAAGCUUGGCACUUUGGUAGGUUGCUUCAUUGCAACCUGAAGGUCCCAGGUUUGAAGGGGGAGAUAGCCUCUCCCAGAUGGGGUCAACAGUCUCUAGGCUCUGCAAUGGCUGGAUUCCCAUGCAUAUUGAGCUGUCUGUAAAAUAGACGAGAAGGCAAUCUAUGAGGUAUUUCUGAAAGUCCUGGAUAAUUAGAUCAAAUGGUGCAAAUACCUGCGGAUCUGGCUUCACAAGCAAUUAAUCGGGACAUAAAGUUUUUCUGGUGUCAUUGUACUUUCUGAUAUGGGGUGAGGCUGCAAAUGUCCACUUUCUUCCUGAAUGCAUUUGCUACAUGUUUGACCAUAUGGUGAAGGAGUUAGAUGCUAUUCCAGCUGCUAGCAGCACAAUAGAAAAUGAUUCUGUGUCCUUUCUCAAGCAGAUUGUUUAUCCUAUAUAUGAAACAUUGGCAGCGGAAGCUGCUAGAAACAAUAAUGGGAAAGCUGCACAUUCAGCAUGGCGGAAUUAUGACGACUUCAAUGAAUACUUUUGCUUUGUUUGCUUGUCAUUCAAUUAUGGAUGAACAAUGUGAUUCCUUCUUUUUGGUGUGUGAAGCAUCUGUGGAAUAUGCAGAUCACCUGCUUGUUUAGUUGAGCUGACCUAUGAGGAGGGAUUCAGCUUUUUUGCUGAAGCCUUAAAAGAGGAAAAGGAUCUCUUUUGUUAUUGCCUUUAAUGAUGGGAAGAUCAAUUCGGUUGCGUUGAAAAGUAUACUCGGGAUUGGGCCAGCAUUUGCUAUCAUGAACUUUGUAAACUCUUUUAUUAUUUUUGUUUUUUUUUCUGUGUUCCAUAGUCUUUGGACUGCUAGUUGCAAGUUACUUGAAAUGAAGUCGCAAAAACUCAAUUCUGGUUUUGCUUUAAUGCAUUGGAUGAUGUGCAGGUAGUUUGGAUGUGUUGGUCAUGUUUGGGGCUUAUACCACAGCCGGAGGCAUGGCUAUCUCAAGACUUGUAUUUAGAUUUUUCUGGUUUGGCUUCAGCUCUGUUGCUGUGACAUAUAUUUAUCUGAAAGUUCUGCACGAAAGAAAUGAUUACUCAAAUGAUCAUUCUAUUUUCGGAUAUACAGUUUAUGCAGCUUUACGCCUAGUCCUUGCGCUAUUACUCAAAUUUGCGGCAUGUAGAUUGAGGGCAAAUCACCUCAUGACCAAAUCAUUUACUAUACCAUGUUAAGAGCUAGGACAGUGACUCAAAUGAGCAUCUUAAGUGACUCAUAUCUCGUUUGAUUAGAGUAUAAUUAAUCUAGCCGUUCUCAGGGGAGAUUGCACAUUUGAUAAGGAUUUUGACUUGGCCGAGGCCAUGAAGGAGAACAUCACUCUUUAUGAUUCAUUGGAAGAACAGGCAAUUCUUGAUUAAUGUAGAAUUUCAAUGAAUAAUUGAUAAAUUUAUGUAGGAUUUAUAACUAUCUUAUAUGAC
Rosa chinensis is the source of this 1965-nucleotide long non-coding RNA. RefSeq lists it as uncharacterized. NCBI's taxonomy places the organism in Eukaryota, Viridiplantae, Streptophyta, Magnoliopsida, Rosales, Rosaceae. The transcript has 9 exons. The record is from RefSeq and is a predicted model, not a curated record.